This 69-nucleotide transfer RNA is filed under the name Ictidomys tridecemlineatus (thirteen-lined ground squirrel). RNAcentral describes it as "Spermophilus tridecemlineatus (thirteen-lined ground squirrel) tRNA". It matches the Rfam family "tRNA". From Rfam's summary of the family: Transfer RNA (tRNA) molecules are approximately 80 nucleotides in length. Their secondary structure includes four short double-helical elements and three loops (D, anti-codon, and T loops). Further hydrogen bonds mediate the characteristic L-shaped molecular structure. tRNAs have two regions of fundamental functional importance: the anti-codon, which is responsible for specific mRNA codon recognition, and the 3' end, to which the tRNAs corresponding amino acid is attached (by aminoacyl-tRNA synthetases). tRNAs cope with the degeneracy of the genetic code in two manners: having more than one tRNA (with a specific anti-codon) for a particular amino acid; and 'wobble' base-pairing, i.e. permitting non-standard base-pairing at the 3rd anti-codon position. The record is from Rfam by way of RNAcentral. Lineage: Eukaryota; Metazoa; Chordata; Mammalia; Rodentia; Sciuridae.
GGGGUUGUGGCUUGGAGGUAGAGCACUUGCCUAGCAUGUGUGAGGCCCUGGGUUCGAUCCCCAGCACCA